CGAACGCUGGCGGCGUGCCUAACACAUGCAAGUCGAACGAGGUCCAUCCUUCGGGAGAAGACCUAGUGGCGAACGGGUGAGUAACACGUGAAGAACCUGCCCCGAAGACCGGGAUAACCCUCCGAAAGGAGAGCUAAUACCGGAUACCCCCACGAACCGCAUGGUUUGGUGAGGAAAUGGAUUCCGCUUCGGGAGGGCUUCGCGGCCUAUCAGCUAGUUGGUGGGGUAACGGCCCACCAAGGCAUCGACGGGUAGCUGGUCUGAGAGGACGAUCAGCCACACUGGGACUGAGACACGGCCCAGACUCCUACGGGAGGCAGCAGUGGGGAAUCUUGCGCAAUGGGCGAAAGCCUGACGCAGCAACGCCGCGUGGGGAUGAAGGCUCUCGGGUUGUAAACCCCUUUCAGCAGGGACGAAUCAAGACGGUACCUGCAGAAGAAGCCCCGGCUAACUACGUG
RNAcentral lists this ribosomal RNA (458 nucleotides) under uncultured bacterium. Its description in RNAcentral is "bacterial SSU rRNA". It matches the Rfam family "Bacterial small subunit ribosomal RNA", at positions 30 to 507 of the family's 1533-position model. The record is from RNAcentral.